This 253-nucleotide ribosomal RNA is filed under the name uncultured prokaryote. RNAcentral describes it as "partial 16S ribosomal RNA". It matches the Rfam family "Bacterial small subunit ribosomal RNA", at positions 525 to 777 of the family's 1533-position model. The record is from RNAcentral.
ACGUACCGUCCAAACGUUAUUCGGAAUUACUGGGCUUAAAGGGUUUGUAGGCGGCGCUGUUAGUCGGGUGUGAAAUCCCACGGCUUAACCGUGGAAUUGCGCCCGAAACUGCAGUGCUUGAGGGAGACAGAGGUAAGCGGAACUGAUGGUGGAGCGGUGAAAUGCGUUGAUAUCAUCAGGAACACCGGUGGCGAAAGCGGCUUACUGGGUCUCUUCUGACGCUGAGAAACGAAAGCUAGGGUAGCGAAGGGGA